This 467-nucleotide ribosomal RNA is filed under the name uncultured bacterium. RNAcentral describes it as "partial 16S ribosomal RNA". It matches the Rfam family "Bacterial small subunit ribosomal RNA", at positions 29 to 507 of the family's 1533-position model. The record is from RNAcentral.
ACGAACGCUGGCGGCGUGCUUAACACAUGCAAGUCGAACGGAAAGGCCCUGCUUUUGUGGGGUGCUCGAGUGGCGAACGGGUGAGUAACACGUGAGUAACCUGCCCUUGACUUUGGGAUAACUUCAGGAAACUGGGGCUAAUACCGGAUAGGAGCUCCUGCUGCAUGGUGGGGGUUGGAAAGUUUCGGCGGUUGGGGAUGGACUCGCGGCUUAUCAGCUUGUUGGUGGGGUAGUGGCUUACCAAGGCUUUGACGGGUAGCCGGCCUGAGAGGGUGACCGGCCACAUUGGGACUGAGAUACGGCCCAGACUCCUACGGGAGGCAGCAGUGGGGAAUAUUGCACAAUGGGCGGAAGCCUGAUGCAGCAACGCCGCGUGCGGGAUAACGGCCUUCGGGUUGUAAACCGCUUUCGCCUGUGACGAAGCGUGAGUGACGGUAAUGGGUAAAGAAGCACCGGCUAACUACGUG